Molecule: ribosomal RNA, 495 nt
Filed under: uncultured bacterium
Lineage: Bacteria
Description: bacterial SSU rRNA
Rfam family: Bacterial small subunit ribosomal RNA
Source: RNAcentral
UCCUGGCUUAGGAUGAACGCUGGCGGCGUGCCUAACACAUGCAAGUCGAGCGGACUUAAGAGAAGAUUCUCGGAUGAAAUUUUAAGUAGCGGCGGAUGGGUGAGGAACGCGUGGAGAACCUGCCCUUCACAGGGGGAUAACAGCUGGAAACGGCUGUUAAUACCGCAUAUGCUCACGGAGCCGCAUGGCCCCGGGAGGAAAGCUCCGGCGGUGAAGGAUGGCUCCGCGUCGGAUUAACUUGUUGGCGGGGUAACGGCCCACCAAGGUGAUGAUCCCGUAGCCGGCCUGAGAGGGCGACCGGCCACAUUGGGACUGAGACACGGCCCAAACUCCUACGGGAGGCAGCAGUGGGGGAUAUUGCACAAUGGGCGCAAGCCUGAUGCAAGCGACGCCGCGUGAUGGAGGAAGUACUUCGGUAUGUAAACAUCUAUCAGCAGGGAAGAAGAUGACGGUACCUGCAGAAGAAGCCCCGGCUAACUACGUGCCAGCCGCAGC